Molecule: long non-coding RNA, 155 nt
Organism: Maniola jurtina (meadow brown)
Lineage: Eukaryota; Metazoa; Arthropoda; Insecta; Lepidoptera; Nymphalidae
Exons: 3
Source: RefSeq, a predicted model, not a curated record
CUAAUAAGAGUAUUAGUAGAAAGAUGAUCGCGAAAAUUACAAUAAUUAUAGUAUUAGCGUGAAAACUUUUGAGCUUGCAAUAAUGCGAAAUAAGGCUAGACGCACACGACUCGAAUUUCUAUACAUAUAUUAUGAAGAGGAAAGGUUUGUUUGUU